GGUCACAUAGCUCAGCGGCAUAAGCUCCUGCCUUGCAAGCAGGCAGUCAUGAGUUUGAUUCUUGGUACCA
RNAcentral lists this transfer RNA (70 nucleotides) under Cavia porcellus (domestic guinea pig). It matches the Rfam family "tRNA". Rfam says of the family: Transfer RNA (tRNA) molecules are approximately 80 nucleotides in length. Their secondary structure includes four short double-helical elements and three loops (D, anti-codon, and T loops). Further hydrogen bonds mediate the characteristic L-shaped molecular structure. tRNAs have two regions of fundamental functional importance: the anti-codon, which is responsible for specific mRNA codon recognition, and the 3' end, to which the tRNAs corresponding amino acid is attached (by aminoacyl-tRNA synthetases). tRNAs cope with the degeneracy of the genetic code in two manners: having more than one tRNA (with a specific anti-codon) for a particular amino acid; and 'wobble' base-pairing, i.e. permitting non-standard base-pairing at the 3rd anti-codon position. Lineage: Eukaryota; Metazoa; Chordata; Mammalia; Rodentia; Caviidae. The record is from Rfam by way of RNAcentral.